AGAACGAACGCUGGCGGCGUGGAUUAGGCAUGCAAGUCGAACGUGAAGGGGGCUUCGGCCCUGAGUAAAGUGGCAAACGGGUGAGUAACGCGUGGAGAACCUGCCCGGAAGCGGGGGAUAACACUUCUAACGAGGUGCUAAUACCGCAUGUGUCUGCGUGAGCGCGUGCUCGCGCAGGUAAACGUGGCCUCUGCUCGCAAGCUACGGCUUCCGGAUGGCUCUGCGUCCCAUUAGCUAGUUGGUGGGGUAACGGCUCACCAAGGCGACGAUGGGU
Molecule: ribosomal RNA, 274 nt
Filed under: uncultured soil bacterium
Lineage: Bacteria
Description: partial 16S ribosomal RNA
Rfam family: Bacterial small subunit ribosomal RNA
Source: RNAcentral